AGGCCACUGCUAUUGGGAUCCGAUUAAGCCAUGCGAGUCGAAUGGUGCCCGCGAGGGUAACCAUGGCAUACGGCUCAGUAGAACAUGGAUAACCUGCCCUCAAGUGGGGGAUAACCUCGGGAAACUGAGGAUAAUACCCCAUAGGUCUGGGGUGCUGGAAUGCUACCAGGCUGAAAGCGUUUAGUGCUUGAGGAUGGGUCCAUGGCCUAUCAGGUAGUAGUAAGCGUAACGGACUUACUAGCCUACGACGGGUACGGGCGAUGGGAGUCGGAGCCCGGAGAUGGACUCUGAGACACGAGUCCAGGUCCUACGGGGCGCAGCAGGCGCGAAACCUUCGCAAUGGGCGAAAGCCCGACGAGGGGAUCCCAAGUGCUAUCAGCGUUGCUGAUGGCUGUUCUCCAGUCUAAAAAGCUGGAGAAGUAAGGGCUGGGUAAGACGGGUGCCAGCCGCCGCGGUCAUACCCGCAGCCCAAGUGGGGGCCACUAUUAUUGGGUCUAAAACAUCCGUAGCCGGUCUAGCAAAUGCCUAGGGAAAUUGAGUGGCUUAACCAUUCGAAGUCUAGGUAGACUGCUGGACUUGAGACCGGGAGAGGUCAGAGGUACUCUCGGGGUAGCGGUAAAAUGCUGUAAUCCUGAGAGGACCACCAGUGGCGAAGGCGUCUGACCAUAACGGCUCUGACGGUAAGGGAUGAAGCCCUGGGGCGCGAACCGGAUUAGAUACCCGGGUAGUCCAGGGUGUAAACGCUGCUGGCUUGGUGUUGGGUAACCCUCGUGGUUGCUCAGUGCCGGAGUGAAGAUGUUAAGCCAGCUACCUGGGAAGUACAGUCGCAAGACUGAAACUUAAAGGGAUUGGCGGGGGAGCACCGCAACGGGUGGAGCGUACGGUUU
This 887-nucleotide ribosomal RNA is filed under the name uncultured Thermoplasmatales archaeon. Its description in RNAcentral is "bacterial SSU rRNA". It matches the Rfam family "Archaeal small subunit ribosomal RNA", at positions 21 to 903 of the family's 1478-position model. The record is from RNAcentral. Lineage: Archaea; Methanobacteriati; Thermoplasmatota; Thermoplasmata; Thermoplasmatales.